GCAAGUCGAACGAUAUAGUGGCAGACGGGUGAGUAACGCGUGGGAAUCUACCCAGUACUACGGAAUAACACAGAGAAAUUUGUGCUAAUACCGUAUACGCCCUUCGGGGGAAAGAUUUAUCGGUAUUGGAUGAGCCCGCGUUGGAUUAGCUUGUUGGUGGGGUAAUGGCCUACCAAGGCGACGAUCUAUAGCUGGUCUGAGAGGAUGAUC
RNAcentral lists this ribosomal RNA (210 nucleotides) under uncultured bacterium. Its description in RNAcentral is "partial 16S ribosomal RNA". It matches the Rfam family "Bacterial small subunit ribosomal RNA", at positions 57 to 305 of the family's 1533-position model. The record is from RNAcentral.